UUUUAAAUGGCCGCAGUAUUUUGACUGUGCAAAGGUAGCAUAAUCAUUAGUUUUUUAAUUAAAAGCUUGUAUGAAAGGCUGGACGAGGUAAAAUCUGUCUCUAUUUAAAUUAAAAUAGAAUUUAACUUUUAAGUUAAAAGGCUUAAAUAUUAUUAAAAGACGAGAAGACCCUAUAGAUCUUUAUAAUUUAUUAAAUUAAAUUAAUUUAGAAAUAUUAAUGUUUUAUUUGAUUAAAUUAUUUUAUUGGGGUAAUAAAAAGAUUGAAUUAAUUCUUUUUUAUAAUAAACAUUAAUUUAUGAAUAUUAAUGAUCCAGUUUUACUGAUUAUAAGAUUAAGUUACCUUAGGGAUAACAGCGUAAUUUUUUUAGAGAGUUCAUAUCGAUAAAAAAGUUUGCGACCUCGAUGUUGGAUUAAAGAUUAUUUUAGGUGUAGAAGCUUAAUAAUUUUGGUCUGUUCGACCAUUAAAUCUUUACAUGAUCUGAGUUCAGACCGGCGUAAGCCAGGUCGGUUUCUAUCUUUAAUAAAAUAAAAUAUUUUAGUACGAAAGGACCAAAUAUUUGAUAUAUUUAUAUUUAAUUUAUUGAAUAUUA
Molecule: ribosomal RNA, 590 nt
Filed under: Carabus macrocephalus cantabricus
Lineage: Eukaryota; Metazoa; Arthropoda; Insecta; Coleoptera; Carabidae
Description: partial large subunit ribosomal RNA
Rfam family: Bacterial large subunit ribosomal RNA
Source: RNAcentral